Molecule: unclassified non-coding RNA, 261 nt
Filed under: plant metagenome
Description: partial contains small subunit ribosomal RNA, internal transcribed spacer 1, and 5.8S ribosomal RNA
Source: RNAcentral
UUUCCGUAGGUGAACCUGCGGAAGGAUCAUUAUUGUAUAACCGAGGUGCGAGGGUUGUCGCUGACCCGAAAGGUCGUGCACGCCCGAGUGCCCUCACACAUCCAUCUCACCCCUAUGUGCACCACCGCGUGGGUCCCCCUUUGGCUUGUUCGGAGGGGGGCUUACGUUUUCACACAAACUUUGUAUGCAGUGUAGAAUGUAUUUUUUGUUUUUGCGAUCACGCAAUCAAUACAACUUUCAACAACGGAUCUCUUGGCUCUC